CGACCCCAGGUCAGGCGGGGUUACCCGCUGAAUUUAAGCAUAUCAAUAAGCGGAGGAAAAGAAACUUACGAGGAUUCCCCUAGUAACGGCGAGCGAACCGGGAACAGCCCAGCUUGAGAAUCGGGCGCCGUCGGCGUUCGAAUUGUAGUCUGGAGAAGCGUCA
RNAcentral lists this ribosomal RNA (163 nucleotides) under Cydonia oblonga (quince). RNAcentral describes it as "partial 28S ribosomal RNA". It matches the Rfam family "Eukaryotic large subunit ribosomal RNA", at positions 1 to 163 of the family's 3401-position model. Lineage: Eukaryota; Viridiplantae; Streptophyta; Magnoliopsida; Rosales; Rosaceae. The record is from RNAcentral.